GAGUGAGAGGGAAGAGCUCAAAUUUGAAAGCUGGUACCUUCGGUAUCCGCGUUGUAACCUCGAGACACGUUUUCCGUGCGGCGCUAUGGACAAGUUCCUUGGAACAGGACAUCGUAGAGGGUGAAAAUCCCGUACUUGCCAUGGAUGUACCGUGCUUUGCGAUACGUGCUCUAAGAGUCGAGUUGUUUGGGAUUGCAGCUCAAAAUGGGUGGUAGACUCCAUCUAAAGCUAAAUAUCGGGGAGAGACCGAUAGCGAACAAGUACCGUGAGGGAAAGAUGAAAAGCACUUUGGAAAGAGAGUUAAAAGUACGUGAAAUUGUCGAAAGGGAAGCGCUUGAAGUCAGCCAUGCCGCUCAGGACUCAGCCUGGCUUUUGCUUGGUGUAUUUCCUGGGUAGCAAGUCAGCAUUGGUUUGGAUCGUCGGAGAAGCAUAGUCGGAAUGUGGCGCCCUCGGGCGUGUUAUAGCCUUCUAUUGGAUACGACGAUCUAGACCAAGGAACGCAGCGCGCCUUAUGGCGGGUCUUCGGAC
Molecule: ribosomal RNA, 528 nt
Filed under: Malassezia furfur
Lineage: Eukaryota; Fungi; Basidiomycota; Malasseziomycetes; Malasseziales; Malasseziaceae
Description: eukaryotic LSU rRNA
Rfam family: Eukaryotic large subunit ribosomal RNA
Source: RNAcentral